Molecule: long non-coding RNA, 575 nt
Filed under: Nicotiana benthamiana
Lineage: Eukaryota; Viridiplantae; Streptophyta; Magnoliopsida; Solanales; Solanaceae
Description: long non-coding RNA (NBEN_LNC032467)
Source: RNAcentral
CGAGAUAUGUUGAAUUACAAUAAAAAAAAUAGUGAAUGCAAUGAAAUACAUAAAAAUACAGCGAGAUAAGUUGAAAUGCUCUUAAAAAAAGGUAACAAAAUCUUCAAAUUGCUCAACCUCAAACUUCAGACGACCUAUUUUUUGACAAUUUUUUGACGACCCAUCAGAUUCCGAUCAUGAUUCCAUAAGCAACGAUGAGUAAAAAUUUCAAAUUAAUAAGGCGUACAGUCCACACGAACUCGGCAGAGUCGAAUAGAGUUGCCUUUGUCUCCGCCGCUUGAGAAUUGUUUGCGCAGCCUUGCAAAGUUGCAAAAAAUAGUUUUAGGGCCUUUUUGGCGAUGCCUAAGAACUAAAGCUGAAGGCAAAUAAAAAAGUAAAUUACCGUCUCCAACUGCAAUAAAUAGCUAAUCGUAAGCAUAAAUUAAGUCCCCUAACCUCAACUGCCCAAAAAUCAGCCAUAGGAAAGCGGAAAAUAAAGAAUGAGAAAAACAAAGAAACUCAAUGACAUUACCUAGCUCUAGCUUGGCGGCUUCUUCCAGGUCCGAGGGUGACGAUGAGGAACAAGGACAUAAGGG